AUUGAACGCUGGCGGAAUGCUUUACACAUGCAAGUCGAACGGCAGCACGGGUGCUUGCACCUGGUGGCGAGUGGCGAACGGGUGAGUAAUACAUCGGAACGUACCCAGUCGUGGGGGAUAACUAACCGAAAGGUUAGCUAAUACCGCAUACGCCCUGAGGGGGAAAGCGGGGGACCGUAAGGCCUCGCGCGAUUGGAGCGGCCGAUGUCUGAUUAGCUAGUUGGUGAGGUAAAGGCUCACCAAGGCGACGAUCAGUAGCUGGUCUGAGAGGAUGAUCAGCCACACUGGAACUGAGACACGGUCCAGACUCCUACGGGAGGCAGCAGUGGGGAAUUUUGGACAAUGGGGGAAACCCUGAUCCAGCCAUUCCGCGUGAGUGAAGAAGGCCUUCGGGUUGUAAAGCUCUUUCGGCAGGGAAGAAACGCUCUGGGUUAAUAACCCGGGGUAAUGAUGGUACCUGAAGAAGAAGCACCGGCUAACUACGUGCCAGCCGCCGCAGUAA
This 502-nucleotide ribosomal RNA is filed under the name uncultured bacterium. RNAcentral describes it as "partial 16S ribosomal RNA". It matches the Rfam family "Bacterial small subunit ribosomal RNA", at positions 30 to 523 of the family's 1533-position model. The record is from RNAcentral.